This 629-nucleotide long non-coding RNA is filed under the name Monodelphis domestica (gray short-tailed opossum). RNAcentral's name for it is "lncRNA (ENSMODG00000030288.2)". Lineage: Eukaryota; Metazoa; Chordata; Mammalia; Didelphimorphia; Didelphidae. The record is from RNAcentral.
GGGCAGAAAGUGCAAGCUGUUUCAUGAUCUAGGGAAUUCUCCUCCCUUCAUAUUCUUGCAGAGAAUCAAUCUAUAUUUCAGAGUAUAUUAUAAGAUGCAUUGGGUAUAUAUAUACUUCCAGAGAAUGAGAAGUCAACAAGUUUUAGCAAGCCAUUGAGUAUUUAAUAUCACAAACAAUUUGUUCUAUUCAAAAUAUAUUGACUACAAAAUUCCAUGAGCUCUGAAACCACUGUUAAAUAUCAAGAGCUGAGAACAACUGCAACAGACCUAUGCAUUGCAGUAAUCUGCAGAAGUACUAAGGACCACUGCAGUGGAUCCAUAAAAAGUAUCAUUUGGAAUCACUGAGGGAGAACAGCAACAAUUUACAUAUCUGAAAAUAAGAAGCAAGAGCUGGUAGAAGAAAAGAACACUGCUCUUAGAGACCUUGGAGAAGAAGAUUAAAAUGAGGCAAUUAAUUUCAAUUGUUCUUAUCUGGGGCUCUGAUCAGAUUAAUGCUGUAAGCUAUAACAACUGUACUUUCAUAUUGGGAGAGGUUGCUCUCUGGAAUAAUGAGUAGGGCCAUAUUUUUAUUUCGUCGGGGUUGUAUAAAUUAAAUUUCUUUCCAUUAGCUUAUAAAUGGAAUUGUUCCU